AUUGAUUAGGUGGAAGAACAUGAGUUUGUGAGAAUGAAUUUCUCAGAAAAUGACACUAGACUUGUAUACAGUGAAAAAUUCAAAAAAGGUGUAAAUUUUAGUUAUUCAGGUGUCCACCUUCCUGUUGAAAUUUUUGAACGAUAUCCUGAAAUUUUGAAUGGUUUGAAGUGGUCAUCAGCUCUUGAUAAAGUUUUUCAAGAGAAUUUAAAUAAUGAUUCUGAAUUGAUGUGGCAGCAUUUUGGAAGUCAAGCUGGAUUUAUGCGUACUUAUCCUGCAAAACGGUGGGAAGUAUUACCAAAAAAGCCAUCUUUUCCAGAUUUGUAUGAUGUACGGCUUCGUCCAUGGUAUGUGCAUGCUUCUAGCUCACCUAAGGAUAUAGUAAUUCUGAUGGAUUUGAGUGGAAGUAUGCAUGGACAGACUAUGGAAAUUAUGAAAAUUGCUGUGAAAACUAUGCUGACAACUCUAGGUGAAAAUGAUUUCGUCAAUGUAGCAUCAUUUAAUAAUACAGUGAGAUGGAUUUCUUGCUUUGAUACACUUGUUCAAGCUAAUAGAAGGAAUAAACAGAUACUUUCUAAAGGUAUAGAUUCCCUGAAAGAUGGUAAUAUGGCAAAUCUAUCACUAGCUCUGAAAUUUGCCUUUGAAGCUUUAGCCAAGUGUAAGGAUAACAGUACUGAUCCUUGGAUUGGAGCAAAUUGCAACAAAGUUAUCAUGCUUUUUAGUGAUGGAGGUACUGAAGAAGCAUGGGAUGUGCUGGAAAAAUAUAAUUCUGAUAAAAGUAUAAGAGUAUUCACAUAUGCAAUUGGCCCUCAUCCAGUUCCUUAUGCUACUCUGAAAGAGAUUGCAUGCAGUAAUAGAGGAUAUUAUACUUCUAUACAAGCUAUGGGAGCUGUUAGAACAAAAAUACAAGUUUCUGUAGCAAGUGCUUUAUAAUUCUGCAUGUUUUUGCUGGUUUGCAUGUUUGUUUUCUAGAUUAAAAAUGAGACUACGUAAAGGUUCUUGCUAGACCACUGGUUUUGAGUGGUGCGAAGAACUUUGAGUGGACUAAUUUUUAUCUUGAUCCAU
Stegodyphus dumicola is the source of this 1062-nucleotide unclassified non-coding RNA. Lineage: Eukaryota; Metazoa; Arthropoda; Arachnida; Araneae; Eresidae. The record is from RefSeq and is a predicted model, not a curated record.